GUCGAGCGGACUUGAUGGAGUGCUUGCACUCCUGAUGGUUAGCGGCGGACGGGUGAGUAACACGUAGGUAACCUGCCCAUAAGACUGGGAUAACCCACGGAAACGUGAGCUAAUACCAGAUAGGCAUUUUCCUCGCAUGAGGGAGAUGAGAAAGGCGGAGCAAUCUGCCACUUAUGGAUGGACCUGCGGCGCAUUAGCUAGUUGGUAAGGUAACGGCUUACCAAGGCGACGAUGCGUAGCCGACCUGAGAGGGUGAUCGGCCACACUGGGACUGAGACACGGCCCAGACUCCUACGGGAGGCAGCAUUAGGGAAUCUUCCGCAAUGGACGAAAGUCUGACGGAGCAACGCCGCGUGAGUGAUGAAGGUUUUCGGAUCGUAAAGCUCUGUUGCCAGGGAAGAACGCCUAGGAGAGUAACUGCUCUUAGGGUGACGGUACCUGAGAAGAAAGCCCCGGCUAACUACGUGCC
This 469-nucleotide ribosomal RNA is filed under the name Paenibacillus sp. Dg-904. RNAcentral's name for it is "bacterial SSU rRNA". It matches the Rfam family "Bacterial small subunit ribosomal RNA", at positions 61 to 509 of the family's 1533-position model. The record is from RNAcentral. Lineage: Bacteria; Bacillati; Bacillota; Bacilli; Caryophanales; Paenibacillaceae.